Molecule: non-coding RNA, 207 nt
Organism: Styela clava
Lineage: Eukaryota; Metazoa; Chordata; Ascidiacea; Stolidobranchia; Styelidae
Source: RefSeq, a predicted model, not a curated record
GCAAUUUGUGAAUCUGUCCUGCGUUUUGAUUGUUUUGUGAACAAUUCUUGAAAACCUCUCUCUCUCUCUAUCUCAACUCAAUCUAUCUGUAUUCGUCAUCUGUUUCCGUGAUCUAUUUGGCUCCAUCUGACAUCUCGAUUUUAUAAUUUAUGCUGAGCAAGUGCUUGAUAUUUCCACGACAUAUUACAAUUCUCCUGUGUUUGAAGU